UGGGGAAUUUUGGACAAUGGGGGCAACCCUGAUCCAGCAACGCCGCGUGCAGGAUGAAGGCCUUCGGGUCGUAAACUGCUUUUAUCUGUGAUGAAUAUGACAGUAACAGAAGAAUAAGCACCGGCUAACUACGUGCCAGCAGCCGCGGUCAUACGUAGGGUGCAAGCAUUAUCCGGAGUGACUGGGCGUAAAGAGUUGCGUAGGUGGUUUGUUAAGUGAAUGGUGAAAUCUGGAGGCUCAACCUCGCAGAUUAUUAUUCAAACUGGCAAACUCGGGAGUAGCAGAGGUAACUGGAAUUUCUAGUGUAGGAGUGAAAUCCGUAGAUAUUAGAAGGAACACCAAUGGCGUAGGCAGGUUACUGGGCUAUUUCUGACACUGAAGCACGAAAGCGUGGGGAGCGAACCGG
Molecule: ribosomal RNA, 406 nt
Filed under: uncultured bacterium
Lineage: Bacteria
Description: bacterial SSU rRNA
Rfam family: Bacterial small subunit ribosomal RNA
Source: RNAcentral